AUUCAACACAAAUAAUUCAUCAUGUUAUGAAUUGAAGGUGACCUACUAUGCUUUUUUUGCACAAAAUCAUUCUUAGAUCAUGAGAUUUUUUUGUCUGGUCAGUUCUGAUUAUGAGCUUCGUUUAGAAUGAGCUGCUUUAGGGCCUUUUGUCACUUUAACAUCCACCAACUCAACGUUUACACUUGCACUUGAAAAUGGCUGCAAACAGAUAAAUUAUUAUACAACCUUACAUCUUUGAAAAGCAGAAGUAGGGCCUCAUGCACAACCAACAAGAAUGUGGUUUCUGGAUGGUAAGUGAACAACAGAACACUUGUCUUUUCUAGCAGCCCUUGUGCAGCGCAUACAGCGGGAAAUCCAGUUGACCAAACAUGCUGGAAUUCUGCAUGGGCUGCUAGGUAACGGGCCUGGGCUCAGCUUGAGUUGCUAGGUAAUGGGCAGAACUCUGUUUGGGUUGCUAGGUAACGGGCCUGGGCUCAGCUUGAGUUGCUAGGUAACUGUGCAGUGCCUGUUGAAUGUGACUCAGAAUCGGCAGGUUUUUUGAAAUGGUUCAUUUUCCAGACACCAAAAAAACAUGAACUAUUGCCAAAUAAUGGUUCUAUGUGUCUGUUUUUAGAAGCAGUAGAGGCACAAAUGGAAGUAUAAAAAUGUGCAAAAUGUGAAUUUUGCAUAAUAGAUCUCCUUUAAAUCUUGAUGUAUGACUAAAAAAAACAAAUUAUUAUUAGAAAACUGCCAGGGAUUCACAUCCAUAUGUUUAUUCCCAUAGUUAGAUUUUUUAAAAGAAAUGUAUUUUAACAUAAUUACUGAAUAUUAUCUUACAUUUUUAAUAAAAUAAUAAUAAUAGAAGGCUGUCAAUCACACAUUCAUUAAGUCAAGUGUGUGGCAACAGGGAAACAUCUGUGUUGCACGUUGUUUUAGUUGUUAGAAAUACAUUAAGAACUUUUUUUAGACAAUAAAAUUUAUAUUGCCGUGAUCCAUUGAUGUUUGAGUUUUAGGUUUCAUUUGUGUUCUUUUUUUAAAUAAUUUCUUGUUUUUCCUCAUUAGGUUUCUUUGUUAGUGUUAUCUUUUCUGCUAAUUGUUUGUGUGCCAGGUUUAGCUCCAUGGUUUUCCUUCCUCCAUUUUCUCUGCUCUGCUUAUCUUUCACCUUCCCUUUCAGUCUGCUUCCUUCUCAGAUGUUUUCCAUCUCCUGAUUUCCUUCCGCCUGUUCUCCCCCCAGCUGUUUUUACUUGCUUCUGAUUAGCUCAUCUUCUCCAGUCUAUAGCGCAUGUAUUGCUCCCUGGUUUCAUUGUUCUCUACUGGCUCCAUUAGUUUCUUUUCCUGUAAAUAUUUUUUUCUUCCCCCCAUUAAAUGAUAUACUUUAUGACAAUUUUCAGUUCUUGUGUGCAUUUUGGUCUAACAAUGUGACCUAAAUAAAAAGUUUGGAAACUGCACAACUUUUCUUUAAGGCAAAUGUCUGAGACGCUUUUUGAGACCUACAGUAAUUUAGUUCUUUUCUGCGAUGCUACAUUAAAUAUUGCAUGUUUAAUUUAUUGGCAAGCAGGUGGGAAGAUAAUAAUUCACAAUUAACUGUGAGGAAAAUGAUGUUACUUUCAACUUGGUGAUUUUCGUAGUCCAAUGUGAUAAUUUCUAUAUGCCACUGCCUGACAUUGAGCUCAACCACCUGACGGAUGAAGCUCAUUUAUCUUGUUUGCAUCUGGGAUUUAUGAUGCGUUUAAGUUACCUGGGAAAUGAGAACUUGGAGCUGGGUUUGACAUUAGACCCAAGGUAACAGCAUUUUAGUUAAGAAGUCAGAAUUUCAAUAGACACUGUUCGCAUUACCUCUUACAAACAUAAUUUUAAGCUUUACUUUCUUUAAGCAAAAACAACUUUUAAUUUUCAAUUUAAAAUUCCAGGCGCUACAAGUAACAUUAAUAUUAGAUGCAUUCUUACUUAAGUUUCUUGUAAAACACACAUUUCCACCAAAGGUUGAUACAAGGAGCGGCCAUUUUGAAAUGCAAAGUCGGCCUUACAAGUCGUAGCUGUGGACAGUCGGGGUUGCUCCCAGUUUCCCAGUGGGAAAUCCGACUUUGUAGGGCGUUCCAGUUUUCUUUUUUCCCCAACAAAAUCUGAAUUUCCCAGUUCUGAGUACAACUGGAAAGCAGCGUAAGUUGGGAUACUUUCAGUGCUGUGGAAGCUGAUCAGUAGCUUCCUGAGGAACGUUUAAUGUUCCUCAGGAAGAACAAUCUCUCCUGGGCUUUUAAAUGACUCAUAAAGUGUUUCAGUUCCAGGUCAAUUUAUUAGUAAGAGUUGAAUUUUGGGACUCUUUCCACCUUCUCUCCUUUAAAGUGGACCUAUCAUGCAAAAUUCAUAUUUUGUAUGUUUUAUAUUUCCAUUUGAGUCAACUGCUUCUACAAACAUCCCAGGUGUUUAAAAAUCCCACAUGGAUGAUUUUUGUAAAUAAGUUAAUGUUUUUGGUGUUUGGAAAAUGAGCCUAUUCAAAACCUCUAUUGUUGAGCCACACUGCAUCGUUACCUAGCAACCCACGCUGAGUUCCAGCACGUUUGAUUGGCUGGUUUUACCUCUGUAUGCUUUGUACAUUGACUGCUGGAAAAAACAAGUGUUUUUGUUGCUGACUUACUAUCCAGAAACCACUUGCUGCAUUCUUGUUGGUUGUGCAGGAGGCUCCACUUCUGCUUUUCAAAGAUGUAUAGUUGUAUAAUUGGGCAUCUGUUUGCUGGUAUUUUCAGGUGCGAGUGUAAACGAUGAGUGGGGCUCAUUCUGAAGUGAUCUGAAAAUAGGCAAACCUCAGAAGACUAAAACCUCAUUAUCUAAGAAUUAUUUUGUGCUAAAAAUGUAAUAAGCAUGUUUUGUUUCGCCCAUAGACAUUUGCUAACUUGUUCAAGGAAGCAUAAUAAAUUACCUUUAAUGCACAAACCAUUAUUAUGAUUCCUGUUGCUCUUUUGUUACUAUUUAUGCUGGUAAAAAUAAAGUACAUUCUGAAUGAUAUUUAUUAAGGAAUGUAGCUUAAUAUAUCUUGUAAUCAACAGAAAGUUGAUGCAAUUUUAAGGUUUUAGUUUGGUUCCUUUCAGUCCAAAAGCAAGGCUAGAAGGUGGAUUUAGAUUUUGUUUUUUUUUAACCUUUAUAGAUGGUAGUGUUGAGGGAAGCUGUGUGCACUAAAAGCUCUGCAAUUUGUACUUUACUUAAUGCUUGCUUGAUGUUUUUCUUUCAAAAAGUCAGAACUGUCAUCCCUGAAUAAAAGUUUGGUGUGUAAAA
Molecule: long non-coding RNA, 3249 nt
Organism: Xiphophorus hellerii (green swordtail)
Lineage: Eukaryota; Metazoa; Chordata; Actinopteri; Cyprinodontiformes; Poeciliidae
Exons: 2
Source: RefSeq, a predicted model, not a curated record